AUUGAACGCUGGCGGCAUGCCUAACACAUGCAAGUCGAACGGCAGCGCGGGGGCAACCCUGGCGGCGAGUGGCGGACGGGUGAGGAAUGCAUAGGAAUCUGCCCGGUUGUGGGGGAUAACGUAGGGAAACUUACGCUAAUACCGCAUACGACCUUCGGGUGAAAGUGGGGGACCUUCGGGCCUCACGCGAUCGGAUGAGCCUAUGCCCGAUUAGCUAGUUGGCGGGGUAAGAGCCCACCAAGGCGACGAUCGGUAGCUGGUCUGAGAGGAUGAUCAGCCACACUGGGACUGAGGCACGGCCCAGACUCCUACGGGAGGCAGCAGUGGGGAAUAUUGGACAAUGGGCGCAAGCCUGAUCCAGCAAUGCCGCGUGUGUGAAGAAGGCCUUCGGGUUGUAAAGCACUUUUGUUCGGGAAGAAAUCCGUGUGGUUAAUACCCGUACGGGAUGACGGUACCGAAAGAAUAAGCACCGGCUAACUUCGUG
RNAcentral lists this ribosomal RNA (484 nucleotides) under uncultured bacterium. RNAcentral's name for it is "partial 16S ribosomal RNA". It matches the Rfam family "Bacterial small subunit ribosomal RNA", at positions 29 to 507 of the family's 1533-position model. The record is from RNAcentral.